CUAAAUAACUGACCAGAUCGCUUCGGCCUUUGUACCGGCGACGUAUCUUUCAAGGGUCUGUUUUAUCAACUUUCGAUGUUAGUUUAUGGGACUAAAAGGGUUGUCACGGAAAACGGAAAAUAAGGGUUCGACUCCGGAGAGGGAGCCUGAAAAACGGCUACCACUUCUAGGGGGGGCGGCGGGGGCCCACUUACCCAUCCUCAGGCGGGGGAGGUAGUGACGAAAAAAACGAGACGAGCCUCUUGGAGUUCCGUCUCGGAAGGAAAACAAAUAAACCCUUUAACGGGGCCUAGCGAGGGCAAGCCGGGGGCCGCGCCCGGGUAAUUCCGCUCGCCAGUGUAAUCUUUGCGGCGGCGUUAAAAGG
This 364-nucleotide ribosomal RNA is filed under the name Nematoda sp. RNAcentral describes it as "partial 18S ribosomal RNA". It matches the Rfam family "Eukaryotic small subunit ribosomal RNA", at positions 252 to 626 of the family's 1831-position model. Lineage: Eukaryota; Metazoa; Nematoda. The record is from RNAcentral.